ACAUUAGCUUUUCUGGUCUCAUCAAAAGCAGGUCCCCGGGCAAAGGCCCUCUUCUCCAGUCUCUUUUGUGCAGGUGGGAGAGUUGGGUUCCAGAAGUUCUUUAUGGCUCCGACGGUCACAAGCUUUGAAAGGCCAGGUAAGGGCAUGGGGAUGCUUCAUGUGGCUUCCUGCUAAUAUCCCAAGGCCCCAGGCUCUGAAUAGCAGGAUGUCUGUUCUCCAGCUGGUUUUCCAACAGGAAGAGAGAAUCAAAUAAACAAUGCUUACACAGUAGUUCUUCUGAAACCACAGUUACAGCUCUGGAGAGAUGCACAGAGAGCCAACUGAAAGAGCCAGCCGAAGUCACCGAGUCUCUUGCAUACUCUUGAAUGGGUGGAGCAGAAGGUAAAGGAUGGGCUGUUACGUCUUCAUUUCAACCCGGAGAAACCUUGUUGAGUGCAACGCGGAGAAGUUAUGCUGGGCUCAGGGCAGAUCCAAAGGAAGCCGUGGCUGCCUACCGGUGUCUCCUGCAACUGGCAGGCUUUCGGCCUGGGAAUACACAUCAUUUACAGCAUGUAGAAGAAGUUUUGCCAACAGUACUGGCUGCGAAUCACCUUAUUAUUGUCUUCCUAAUUAAAAAAAAAAAUUAACUCAGUUUACUUAAUGUAGCCUCAUCUUAAGCAAUUGCGUCGGUGAAACCAUGGUUUAUUGUGCUGACAUGGAACUUUUCAAUGUGCCUUUAAAGAAAUGAAAUUCAACAGUAUCUUUACCCAAAACUGUUAGGGCUAGGUGCAUCUUGAAAUUUAGACCAGCUUUGGAUUUUUACAAAAGUAAUAAAGUACGUGUAUUUUGCGUAUU
Microtus ochrogaster (prairie vole) is the source of this 834-nucleotide long non-coding RNA. RefSeq lists it as uncharacterized. The record is from RefSeq and is a predicted model, not a curated record. NCBI's taxonomy places the organism in Eukaryota, Metazoa, Chordata, Mammalia, Rodentia, Cricetidae.